This 87-nucleotide transfer RNA is filed under the name Balbiania investiens. RNAcentral's name for it is "tRNA-Ser". It matches the Rfam family "tRNA". Rfam says of the family: Transfer RNA (tRNA) molecules are approximately 80 nucleotides in length. Their secondary structure includes four short double-helical elements and three loops (D, anti-codon, and T loops). Further hydrogen bonds mediate the characteristic L-shaped molecular structure. tRNAs have two regions of fundamental functional importance: the anti-codon, which is responsible for specific mRNA codon recognition, and the 3' end, to which the tRNAs corresponding amino acid is attached (by aminoacyl-tRNA synthetases). tRNAs cope with the degeneracy of the genetic code in two manners: having more than one tRNA (with a specific anti-codon) for a particular amino acid; and 'wobble' base-pairing, i.e. permitting non-standard base-pairing at the 3rd anti-codon position. The record is from RNAcentral. Lineage: Eukaryota; Rhodophyta; Florideophyceae; Balbianiales; Balbianiaceae.
GGAGAGAUGGCCGAGUGGCUUAAGGCGCAGCAUUGGAAAUGCUGUUUAGGAAUUAUCUUAACGAGGGUUCGAAUCCCUCUCUUUCCG